AGCAGCCGCGGUAAUUCCAGCUCCAAUAGCGUAUAUUAAAGUUGUUGCAGUUAAAAAGCUCGUAGUUGAAUUUCGGGAUCAAUUAAUUGGUCGUGCCUCUGGUACGUACUGAUUUUAUUGGUUUCUCCCUUCUGACGAACCAUGAUGUCAUUAAUUUGAUGUCGUGGAGAAUCAGGACUGUUACUUUGAAAAAAUUUAGAGUGUUUAAAGCAAGCUAACGCUUGAAUACAUUAGCAUGGAAUAAUGAAAUAGGACGUUUGAUCCUAUUUUGUUGGUUUCUAGGAUCGACGUAAUGAUUAAUAGGGAUAGUUGGGGGCAUUAGUAUUCAAUUGUCAGAGGUGAAAUUCUUGGAUUUAUUGAAGACUAACUACUGCGAAAGCAUUUGCCAAGGAUGUUUUCAUUAAUCAAGAACGAAAGUUAGGGGAUCGAAGACGAUCAGAUACCGUCGUAGUCUUAACCAUAAACUAUGCCGACUAGGGAUCGGAUGAUGUUAAUUUUUUAAUGACUCAUUCGGCGCCUU
RNAcentral lists this ribosomal RNA (520 nucleotides) under uncultured Glomus. Its description in RNAcentral is "SSU rRNA". It matches the Rfam family "Eukaryotic small subunit ribosomal RNA", at positions 569 to 1089 of the family's 1831-position model. Lineage: Eukaryota; Fungi; Glomeromycota; Glomeromycetes; Glomerales; Glomeraceae. The record is from RNAcentral.